GAAAGAAAAAAAAAGGAGAGAAACCCUAGCUUCUUUUUUCUUGCCACUGCCGCCGGAAACAGCCACUGCAGACCGCUGGAAAUUGCCUCCGUUAGUCGCGUGUCGUCAACCAUUCACGAUCGUCGGACGAGCCGCCUCCGUCCAAGCCGCCGUCGCGCUGAGCCGUACGCGUUCCCCCACAUCAUUCGCAAGUCGUGCGCCUCCAUAGCUGCGUGAAGUCGAGCCGCUAGCUGCCAGCCGCAUGCGUGUCCUGCAAGCCGCACACGAGGAGCCGAGCCACCCCCAGUCGAGCACGUGCGUGAGUCGUGCACGUCCCCCCGAGUCGCAUCGCUCUCUCCCGCCUACACGAGCUGUUUUUCCUGCUCACAGUCGAGUGGCCAACCAUUCUUGAGUCGCCAAGCCUAUUUUUGGCCCUUUUUCACUUGUUGGACCAGUUGGACCAAUUGGAGUUUGGGGUGUGGAAUUUCUCCAGUUAAGGCAAAUUUGUUGGGACCUCGACCUUGGGACUUUGUUGCUUGGAAAGCGUGAUAUUUUACUGUUAGAUUUCGACUAAGCUAAUCUCCAGGUAAGAGAUUCUACUACCAGACCCUCGAGUUUAAUUUAAAGAGACCGCAUGUAUGAAUGAUUAUGUACCGAUGAUGGCUAGCUACAGAACUUGAGGUUACAGAUAGAAACUGAUAUUGUAAUUUUGACUGCAGGAUGACUUUGUGUUAGAGCUGAUAAUGCAUUGAUGUUAUCACCUACGUUUAAUGAUACAGUAUUGUGAUUGAGGAUGAUAUGACAUGAUAUGAUAUGAUAGGAUAGGAUAUGUAUGGUAUGACAUGUUAUGGCAUGAUAUGUUAUGAUAUGGUUUGAUGAUGUGAUAUGUGCAUGUUAUGAAUAUGGUGUACGUUAGCUUUACCUAUUAGAGUCAUACCCAUAUGAGUGUCCUUUAGGAUCACCACCCUUUUUGAUGAUUGUGUAUUCCGACGAGAUCACCAGUCUGACAUUGACAUUGAUAUAAACAUGAUUUAAGAGAUCCGACGGGAUCGCUCACACUUAUGACUGCGUAGUCUGACGGGACCACCAGUUUGACAUUGACAUUGACAUAGAAAUGAUUUGAGUGAUUCAACGAGAUCACUCACAGCCCGAUCGUCUUAGGUGUUCCUUUGGGUUCACUAAAGACCAGCUUGUUCCUAUGGGAUCACAGAUUGACGUGUUCAGAAACGUGUCAGAUCAGAGGCAGAGGUAGAGGUAAGAGCAAAGGCAAGCUGGUGAAUGACCAGAAGUGACCAUGGCGAGCCAUAGGGACACGUUUGCUUCCGCUUACGUCAUGUGUCAGAUUUUAGUGUCGAUAUUCUUUUCAUUUUAUUUUAUUUUAUUUAUUUCCUUGUUUUUCCCUUUAAAACUAGUAGGGCCCGAAUAGGAUUCUGUUUUAGUUUAUUUCUGCACAUUCUAUUUAUGA
Long non-coding RNA from Cucumis melo (muskmelon), 1444 nucleotides. RefSeq lists it as uncharacterized. The record is from RefSeq and is a predicted model, not a curated record. NCBI's taxonomy places the organism in Eukaryota, Viridiplantae, Streptophyta, Magnoliopsida, Cucurbitales, Cucurbitaceae. The transcript is spliced from 4 exons.